UACGUAGGGUGCGAGCGUUGUCCGGAAUUAUUGGGCGUAAAGAGCUCGUAGGCGGUGUGUCACGUCGGCCGUGAAAACCUGCAGCUUAACUGUGGGCGUGCGGUCGAUACGGGCAUCACUGGAGUUCGGCAGGGGAGACUGGAAUUCCUGGUGUAGCGGUGAAAUGCGCAGAUAUCAGGAUGAACACCGGUGGCGAAGGCGGGUCUCUGGGCCGAUACUGACGCUGAGGAGCGAAAGCGUGGGGAGCAAACAGG
This 254-nucleotide ribosomal RNA is filed under the name uncultured bacterium. RNAcentral describes it as "partial 16S ribosomal RNA". It matches the Rfam family "Bacterial small subunit ribosomal RNA", at positions 524 to 776 of the family's 1533-position model. The record is from RNAcentral.